GGUAUGAAGGUUGGACAAAGGAAAAACUGUCUUUCUGAUAUAAAUUGAAAUUUACCUUUAAGUGAAAAGGCUUAAAUUAAUCAAAGGGACGAUAAGACCCUAUAAAGCUUUAUAAAUAAUUUAAAUUUAAUUGAUUUAUUGAUUAAAGGUUAAAUUUAAUUAUUUUAUUUUGUUGGGGUGAUAUGAGUAUAAGUUGUGUUAACUGCUUAARAGAGAUUCUAUUAUAAAAGAGUCUAUAAUAUGCAUGAUCCUUUAUAAAGAUUAAAAGACUAAGUUACUUUAGGGAUAACAGCGUUAUUUCUUUUGAGAGUUCAUAUCGAAAAAGAAGAUUGCGACCUCGAUGUUGAAUUAAAAUAUCUAUAUAAUGCAGCCGUUAUAAGAGAGGGUCUGUUCGACCUUUAAAGUUUUACAUGAUUUG
This 418-nucleotide ribosomal RNA is filed under the name Zosimus aeneus. Its description in RNAcentral is "partial 16S ribosomal RNA". The stretch from base 285 to 418 matches the Rfam family "Bacterial large subunit ribosomal RNA", at positions 2473 to 2607 of the family's 2925-position model. Lineage: Eukaryota; Metazoa; Arthropoda; Malacostraca; Decapoda; Xanthidae. The record is from RNAcentral.